This 244-nucleotide ribosomal RNA is filed under the name uncultured bacterium. RNAcentral's name for it is "partial 16S ribosomal RNA". It matches the Rfam family "Bacterial small subunit ribosomal RNA", at positions 15 to 248 of the family's 1533-position model. The record is from RNAcentral.
GAUCCUGGCUCAGGAUGAACGCUAGCUACAGGCUUAACACAUGCAAGUCGAGGGGAAACGACAUCGAAAGCUUGCUUUUGAUGGGCGUCGACCGGCGCACGGGUGAGUAACGCGUAUCCAACCUGCCCACCACUUGGGGAUAACCUUGCGAAAGUAAGACUAAUACCCAAUGACGUCUCUAGAAGACAUCUGAAAGAGAUUAAAGAUUUACCGGUGAUGGAUGGGGAUGCGUCUGAUUAGCUUG